RNAcentral lists this ribosomal RNA (404 nucleotides) under uncultured Oscillibacter sp. RNAcentral's name for it is "bacterial SSU rRNA". It matches the Rfam family "Bacterial small subunit ribosomal RNA", at positions 356 to 774 of the family's 1533-position model. Lineage: Bacteria; Bacillati; Bacillota; Clostridia; Eubacteriales; Oscillospiraceae. The record is from RNAcentral.
GGGGAAUAUUGGGCAAUGGACGCAAGUCUGACCCAGCAACGCCGCGUGAAGGAAGAAGGCUUUCGGGUUGUAAACUUCUUUUAAGGGGGAAGAGUAGAAGACGGUACCCCUUGAAUAAGCCACGGCUAACUACGUGCCAGCAGCCGCGGUAAUACGUAGGUGGCAAGCGUUGUCCGGAUUUACUGGGUGUGAAAGGGCGUGUAGCCGGGAAGGCAAGUCAGAUGUGAAAUCUGGAGGCUCAACCUCCAAACUGCAUUUGAAACUGCUUUUCUUGAGUGUCGGAGGGGGAAACGGAAUUUCUUUGGUAGCGGGGAAAUGCGGAGAUAUAAGGAAGAAAACCAGUGGCGAAGGCGGAUUACUGGACGAUAACUGACGGUGAGGCGCGAAAGCGUGGGGAGCAAACA